Molecule: ribosomal RNA, 118 nt
Filed under: Helianthus annuus (common sunflower)
Lineage: Eukaryota; Viridiplantae; Streptophyta; Magnoliopsida; Asterales; Asteraceae
Source: RNAcentral
GGUUGCGAUCAUACCAGCACUAAUGCACUAGAUCCCAUCAGAACUCCGCAGCUAAGCAUGCUUGGGCGAGAGUAGUACUAGGAUGGGUGACCCCCUGGAAGUCCUCGUGUUGCAACCC